CGCGGUUCUUGACCGAGGAGAUCGUGUUGUCGAUCAGCACCGAGGUGCCGUAGUAAGUGGAGCCGCUGUAGUUCGUCUUGCUGUAGACCGUGU
RNAcentral lists this transfer RNA (93 nucleotides) under Streptomyces sp. ADI92-24. RNAcentral describes it as "tRNA-Ser". The record is from RNAcentral. Lineage: Bacteria; Bacillati; Actinomycetota; Actinomycetes; Kitasatosporales; Streptomycetaceae.